UGGGGAAUAUUGCACAAUGGGCGAAAGCCUGAUGCAGCGACGCCGCGUGAGGGAUGACGGCCUUCGGGUUGUAAACCUCUUUCAGCAGGGACGAAGCGCAAGUGACGGUACCUGCAGAAGAAGCACCGGCUAACUACGUGCCAGCAGCCGCGGUAAUACGUAGGGUGCAAGCGUUGUCCGGAAUUACUGGGCGUAAAGAGUUCGUAGGCGGUUCGUCGCGUCGUUUGUGAAAACCAGCAGCUCAACUGCUGGCUUGCAGGCGAUACGGGCAGACUUGAGUACUGCAGGGGAGACUGGAAUUCCUGGUGUAGCGGUGAAAUGCGCAGAUAUCAGGAGGAACACCGGUGGCGAAGGCGGGUCUCUGGGCAGUAACUGACGCUGAGGAACGAAAGCGUGGGUAGCGAACAGG
Molecule: ribosomal RNA, 409 nt
Filed under: Pseudomonas sp.
Lineage: Bacteria; Pseudomonadati; Pseudomonadota; Gammaproteobacteria; Pseudomonadales; Pseudomonadaceae
Also listed under: 2 other names
Description: partial 16S ribosomal RNA
Rfam family: Bacterial small subunit ribosomal RNA
Source: RNAcentral